AAAUACUUCCCUCACCGCCGCAAUCCAAACAAGCGAGACCAAACCCGUCGGUUUGACCUGCCCAUUUCCCCUCCAUAUAAAAUCCCCCUUAUGAUAUUUCCCCAUUUCAAACCCUAACCCUAGUUAGCCCCAGAAAUGGCGCACUCUCAUUGUUCAUCUUCUUCUUCGAUUGAGCCAAGCCUCAACUCGCAUGGAACUUAGACGAGUUCACUCAAAUGGUCCCCUCCCCUCCACGUCAUUUGAUUCCCAACAGUUUUUGUCAGAAAGAAUAUGAAUAUUCCCUCAAAAUCAAAUAAUUCUUGGUACGAAAGGACUAUUUGCUGGAUGAAUAGGAGCCGUGGAUAGAUAUAAAUCAAUCCACGCCUUCCAUUUUUCCAAAAAUUUGUUUAAAAACAUCUGAAGAUUUUCGAAUUUUUGGCAAAAACUUAAAGAUUUGUGAAAGCUAUAUAUUUGAGGUAAGUUUUGUUUGCUAAGGGGGAAAAGAAUAAUCAGAGGUAAAAUCUAGGAAAAAUUUUAGGGUUCUAAGAGUUGUCACUUUCUUCAAGCCAUUUCCUUUUAGUCUACUUCUUUUUCUCGUCAGAAAAACAUGCAGAAAGCACAAUUGUUUCAGUUCAUUUUUUAUUCGAGUUUUACUUUAUUUCUUCAAAAGAAAAAUCAAAAGAAACAUAACUGAACAGACGUUUUUUAGCACUUGUUCUUCUUCUUGAGUUCUAGUUCUCAGAGGAAUUUGAUUUAAAAGUUCAAGUUGGACCUGAGUUUUGGUAUUUGAAAUUUUAGUGUUGAUUUGGUUUAGAGUGGUUGAUUCAUAUUUUCUUAUUGAUGUUCGUUUGAUCUUUCCCUCUUAUGAAAGCCGGUAUCUCACUUUCGAAAGGAAGUCUCGACGUGGCGGUGUAGACCUAGCUCCAUAGCUGGGCUAGUCACUGGCUAGAGGGCGACNNNN
This 940-nucleotide long non-coding RNA is filed under the name Nicotiana benthamiana. RNAcentral's name for it is "long non-coding RNA (NBEN_LNC024558)". Lineage: Eukaryota; Viridiplantae; Streptophyta; Magnoliopsida; Solanales; Solanaceae. The record is from RNAcentral.